GGGGGGCAGGGCCGCCCGCAGACGGGCCACUGGGGAGAAGGUGGGGCGCUGAGCGGAGCCACAAGGGCCUCACUAGGAUGGGCUCAAAGAGACGAGGGGUCCCCGGCCUCCAUUAUGUUGGUGGUUCUUGGGGAUAAAUGGGUGACUGCGGGGCAGGGAGGUUGAGGGUCAUCUGAGGACCCUUGGGGUGACCGUCUGUGGAUAGAAACUGGGAGACUCCCGACAAAGGGAAAGAAGGACAAACAAAAGUGGAGAGAGGUGAAAGGGGAAAUAACCCUGGGGGGUAAGAGACGGAUGGGGGCUGGUGGCGGUGCACGUAGGAACGGGGCCUCCGGGCUCUGACCUGGGCGACAGUGUAGGGCAGCCGUGAGAAGCAGCGAGGCUUCAGGGAGCUAGCACCUUUCAGAAGGGCACCAGGGCCUUUCCCAGGGGCGGGACCCAAAAGAGGUGUGCAGGGUCAUCCCGCCAGCCCAGCCGUCUCAAGUACAAGGGCAGGGUCUGCCCUGCCUUCUCCUCGCUUGGGGGCGGCACCUGUCUGCCCACGACACAGGUGCGGGGGAGGAGGACUCGCUGUCCGCCCCUGAAGAGCCUCAACAGAGUCUCGGCAGUAUCGGGCUGGUAAACGCAGUGGUCCUGGUAUGGGGGACUUCCUGACCUGCUCCUUACUCUCCCCCAGGCACCCCUCGGGAGAGCCACGGCUGGGAUGACUCUUCCCGUGGAGGAGGAGAAAACCACAACCAGUCCCACGUCUCAGAGAUUCCCAUUGGGACACCUCUGUUUCUGUGAGUCCCGGUGAUGGGUACGGCCGCGCACGUCAUGACCGCCCCAGGGCGGAGAACCUCCCCCGCCCUCUCCGGGUCAGCCUGGGGACAUGCGCCGGGUCAGCCUGGGGACAUGCGCCGGGGCACAGGCACACGCACCCUGUCCUCACUUUCCAACCUGUUCUCUCCAUCUCGCUUUGCAGGGUAGUUCUCCCAGUCCAGCCCGUCAGGACUGGGCCCGCCCCUGCAGUCACCUGGCCGAGGGAGCCAAGAGCUCGCAUGUCCUGGGGCUGCUGGCUCUGAAGGAACGUGGGAUGUAAAACAGUAACGAAGUAGACCGAACCCAUGUGGUUGUUCCGGGCACCAGAACCGUAACCGUGAGCUGCUGUUCCUGUCAUUGGGUGCUGGGGAAGCAUCUUUGAGCUGAGUGGAGACAGGGACUACGAUCUCUGGACAGCACCCCCAAGGGCUCCGUCUCGGUAAAGAAAAGCAUCGGCUGUGCUACCGGGGUGAGAGGCAGGGAGGAGCCAGUGAGGCAUGGCGGGGACAGGCGCGGGGGCGUGCAAGGGGGCACACAUGGUGAGGGGAACGCUCUAGGCGUUUCAGAGGGCUCCGCUGCCUGCUGCACAUGGUAAGUCGUAAGCACAAGGAAGGGGCCUGGCUGGCUGGACUAGAAGGCCGUGACACAGAGAGGUCGGGGGAGCACUGGGGAGCACAGGUGACCCUUCUUACCGGGAGCAGGGAGGCCGGUCUUACCUGCACUCGGGUUCGGAUGACGUCCAUGGGAUUGGUCAGGACGGAAGCGGUGGCCGCGGCCAGGGGCCCCGAGACGGCUUGAAAGACAAUGUGCGGGCACUCCUUAGGACAGAGGUACGAGAUCUGCUCUGGAAGCGAGGGAGAGACAACAGGAGAGACGUGAGGCGCCGUCCCGUCUGCCCUCACACUGCUUCUGCUCAUUGGCCCAACGCGGACGGACCCUCUCCAUCAUCAGCCACCUUAGAUCCUGUCACUGCCAUCCUCUUUUCUUUGCUUCCUUCUGAACCAAGAAAAAAUGAGGACCCUCAGGCCCCUUCCGGAAGCCAUGUUGGGUACAUUACCCGCUGUGAACAGAGGAUUCCCCUGGAGAAGGGGUUUCAGAACCUCUCUGCCUGCCAACUCCCCUCCUCUGACGAACAGAAAUCCUUCCUGACGUAACAACCUCACGCGUGUGCUCUACUCCUCCCGACUCCCAGGCCAGACAAGCACGCGCCACGGAUUUUCUCACACGGGCACCCCGUCACUGUUUCAGAUGUGCAGUACAGUGAUCCGACACGUCUAUACGGCACUCCGUGCUCAGUAAGUGGACUCCUCAUCCCCUUCACCUGUUUCCCCCGCCCACCUCCCUCUGGUGGCCAGCAGUGUGUUCUCUGUAGUCAAGAGUCUGUUUUUUGGGGGGCGCCUGGGUGGCGCAGUCGGUUAAGCGUCCAACUUCAGC
Felis catus (domestic cat) is the source of this 2235-nucleotide long non-coding RNA. RefSeq lists it as uncharacterized. The transcript is spliced from 4 exons. NCBI's taxonomy places the organism in Eukaryota, Metazoa, Chordata, Mammalia, Carnivora, Felidae. The record is from RefSeq and is a predicted model, not a curated record.